UACGGAGGGCGCAAGCGUUGUUCGGAAUCACUGGGCGUAAAGCGCGUGUAGGCGGCUCGGCAAGUCGGGUGUGAAAUCCCGAGGCUCAACCUCGGAACUGCACUCGAAACUGCCGGGCUCGAGUCCCGGAGAGGGUGGCGGAAUUCCCGGUGUAGGGGUGAAAUCCGUAGAUAUCGGGAGGAACACCAGUGGCGAAGGCGGCCACCUGGACGGUGACUGACGCUGAGACGCGAAAGCGUGGGGAGCAAACAGG
RNAcentral lists this ribosomal RNA (253 nucleotides) under uncultured bacterium. Its description in RNAcentral is "partial 16S ribosomal RNA". It matches the Rfam family "Bacterial small subunit ribosomal RNA", at positions 524 to 776 of the family's 1533-position model. The record is from RNAcentral.